UGGGGGAUAUUGCACAAUGGGCGAAAGCCUGAUGCAGCGACGCCGCGUGGGGGAUGAAGGCUUUCGGGUUGUAAACCUCUUUCGCUAUCGAACAAGGCCCGCUUAGGGUGGGUUGAGGGUAGGUGGAGAAGAAGCGCCGGCUAACUACGUGCCAGCAGCCGCGGUAAUACGUAGGGCGCGAGCGUUGUCCGAAAUUAUUGGGCGUAAAGGGCUUGUAGGCGGCUUGUUGCGCCUGCUGUGAAAACGCGGGGCUUAACUUCGCGCGUGCAGUGGGUACGGGCAGGCUUGAGUGUGGUAGGGGUGACUGGAAUUCCAGGUGUAGCGGUGGAAUGCGCAGAUAUCUGGAGGAACACCGAUGGCGAAGGCAGGUCACUGGGCCAUUACUGACGCUGAGGAGCGAAAGCAUGGGUAGCGAACAGG
Molecule: ribosomal RNA, 420 nt
Filed under: bacterium
Lineage: Bacteria
Description: partial 16S ribosomal RNA
Rfam family: Bacterial small subunit ribosomal RNA
Source: RNAcentral